This 253-nucleotide ribosomal RNA is filed under the name uncultured bacterium. RNAcentral's name for it is "partial 16S ribosomal RNA". It matches the Rfam family "Bacterial small subunit ribosomal RNA", at positions 524 to 776 of the family's 1533-position model. The record is from RNAcentral.
UACAGAGGUCCCAAGCGUUGUUCGGAUUCACUGGGCGUAAAGGGUGCGUAGGUGGUCGGGUAAGUCUGAUGUGAAAUCUCUGGGCUCAACCCAGAAAUGGCAUUGGAUACUAUUCGGCUAGAGGAGUGGAGGGGGGACUGGAAUACUUGGUGUAGCAGUGAAAUGCGUAGAUAUCAAGUGGAACACCAGUGGCGAAGGCGGCGACCUGGGUUGACACUGACGCUGAGGCGCGAAAGCGUGGGGAGCAAACAGG